Molecule: ribosomal RNA, 531 nt
Filed under: uncultured bacterium
Lineage: Bacteria
Description: bacterial SSU rRNA
Rfam family: Bacterial small subunit ribosomal RNA
Source: RNAcentral
AGAGUUUGAUCCUGGCUCAGGAUGAACGCUAGCUACAGGCUUAACACAUGCAAGUCGAGGGGAAACGACAUCGAAAGCUUGCUUUUGAUGGGCGUCGACCGGCGCACGGGUGAGUAACGCGUAUCCAACCUGCCCACCACUUGGGGAUAACCUUGCGAAAGUAAGACUAAUACCCAAUGAUAUCCCACGAAGGCAUCGGAAUGGGAUUAAAGAUUUAUCGGUGAUGGAUGGGGAUGCGUCUGAUUAGCUUGUUGGCGGGGUAACGGCCCACCAAGGCUACGAUCAGUAGGGGUUCUGAGAGGAAGGUCCCCCACAUUGGAACUGAGACACGGUCCAAACUCCUACGGGAGGCAGCAGUGAGGAAUAUUGGUCAAUGGGCGAGAGCCUGAACCAGCCAAGUAGCGUGCAGGACGACGGCCCUAUGGGUUGUAAACUGCUUUUAUAAGGGAAUAAAGUGGGUCACGUGUGACUUUUUGCAUGUACCUUAUGAAUAAGGACCGGCUAAUUCCGUGCCAGCAGCCGCGGUAAUAC